RNAcentral lists this ribosomal RNA (305 nucleotides) under Stenonema sp. WCW-2001. RNAcentral describes it as "LSU rRNA". It matches the Rfam family "Eukaryotic large subunit ribosomal RNA", at positions 704 to 964 of the family's 3401-position model. The record is from RNAcentral. Lineage: Eukaryota; Metazoa; Arthropoda; Insecta; Ephemeroptera; Heptageniidae.
ACCCAUGAACCCAUAGGUGAAAUGAAAGUGACGGUGGCUCUGGUGCCGAGGGAGGAUCCNCGUCCUCUCGCGGGCGCCCCGCAUUCACGGGGCGUCUCGUGCUACCNUCACUCCUCGGCGGAAGCUGAGGCGCACCCAGAGCGCACACGUUGGUACCCGAAAGAUGGUGAACUAUACCUGCCCAGGACGAAGCCAGGGGAAACCCUGGUGGAGGUCCGUAGCGAUUCUGACGUGCAAAUCGAUCGUCAGAGCUGGGUAUAGGGGCGAAAGACUAAUCGAACCAUCUAGUAGCUGGUUCCUUCCGA